RNAcentral lists this ribosomal RNA (471 nucleotides) under uncultured bacterium. RNAcentral's name for it is "SSU rRNA". It matches the Rfam family "Bacterial small subunit ribosomal RNA", at positions 26 to 518 of the family's 1533-position model. The record is from RNAcentral.
AGGAUGAACGCUGGCGGCGUGCCUAACACAUGCAAGUCGAACGUCCUGUCUCGCAAGAGGCAGGGAGUGGCGGACGGGUGAGUACCACGUGGGUCAUCUACCGUGAGGUGAGGAAUACCGGCGAGAAAUCGCCGACAAGACCGCAUAGCCUCGGUGCAAGUCGAGGAAAGCUCUCUCGAGAGAGGGAGCGCCACACGAGGAGCCUGCGCCCGAUUAGCUAGCUGGUGGAGUAAUGGUUCACCAGGGCGACGAUCGGUAGCUGGUCUGAGAGGACGAUCAGCCACACUGGGAUUGAGAACGGCCCAGACUCCUACGGGGGCAGCAGUGAGGAAUUUUCGUCAAUGGGGGCAACCCUGAACGAGCAACGCCGCGUGCAGGAAGAAGGUUUUCGGAUCGUAAACUGCUUUUCUCGGGAAGAGAACGGACGGUACCCGAGGAAUCAGCCCCGGCUAACUACGUGCCAGCAGCCGC